RNAcentral lists this non-coding RNA (125 nucleotides) under uncultured Phaeocystis. The record is from RNAcentral. Lineage: Eukaryota; Haptophyta; Phaeocystales; Phaeocystaceae.
UGACGUCGCCGCGCCGCUGUGUCAACGAGACAGCUGCGCGCGGGAACGUCUGGUUCGACCAGGCUUACAAUGCGAAUCCAAACAAAGGGCUCAGCGACAAGAGCGCGCGCUGCGAGCCGGGUACC